This 430-nucleotide ribosomal RNA is filed under the name Micromonosporaceae bacterium Ellin5425. RNAcentral describes it as "bacterial SSU rRNA". It matches the Rfam family "Bacterial small subunit ribosomal RNA", at positions 29 to 461 of the family's 1533-position model. The record is from RNAcentral. Lineage: Bacteria; Bacillati; Actinomycetota; Actinomycetes; Micromonosporales; Micromonosporaceae.
ACGAACGCUGGCGGCGUGCUUAACACAUGCAAGUCGAGCGGAAAGGCCUCUUCGGGGGUACUCGAGCGGCGAACGGGUGAGUAACACGUGAGUAACCUGUCCUUGGCUUUGGGAUAACCCUCGGAAACGGGGGCUAAUACCGGAUAUGACCUUGUCCUGCAUGGGGUGGGGUGGAAAGUUUUUUCGGCUAGGGGUGGGCUCGCGGCCUAUCAGCUUGUUGGUGGGGUGAUGGCCUACCAAGGCGACGACGGGUAGCCGGCCUGAGAGGGCGACCGGCCACACUGGGACUGAGACACGGCCCAGACUCCUACGGGAGGCAGCAGUGGGGAAUAUUGCACAAUGGGCGGAAGCCUGAUGCAGCGACGCCGCGUGAGGGAUGACGGCCUUCGGGUUGUAAACCUCUUUCAGCAGGGACGAAGCGUGAGUGACG